UACGUAGGGGGCAAGCGUUGUCCGGAAUUAUUGGGCGUAAAGGGCGCGUAGGCGGCCACCGCAAGUCGGUUGUGAAAUCUCUGGGCUUAACCCAGAAAGGUCAACCGAUACUGCGGGGCUAGAGUGCAGAAGGGGCAACUGGAAUUCUCGGUGUAGCGGUGAAAUGCGUAGAUAUCGAGAGGAACACCUGCGGCGAAGGCGGGUUGCUGGGCUGACACUGACGCUGAAGCGCGAAAGCUAGGGGAGCGAACGGG
Molecule: ribosomal RNA, 254 nt
Filed under: uncultured bacterium
Lineage: Bacteria
Description: partial 16S ribosomal RNA
Rfam family: Bacterial small subunit ribosomal RNA
Source: RNAcentral